Molecule: long non-coding RNA, 1183 nt
Organism: Juglans microcarpa x Juglans regia
Lineage: Eukaryota; Viridiplantae; Streptophyta; Magnoliopsida; Fagales; Juglandaceae
Exons: 3
Source: RefSeq, a predicted model, not a curated record
ACGACUUAUUUUCUCUUGAUCAUGAAUACUCUCCAAGUGGCCAAAAAAGAUGUGGAUAAAAUUCUUAAUUAAAUGGAUUUUAUAAACUGAUCAUCCAGUCCAAUACGGAAACAUACAGCCCAUUAAUGAAAUUAUCUUGAACCAUUUGCGCGCAGUUUGCGAGAAUUAUUCCCCUCGUGAAGGAUAUUAUAAUCCAAAAAAUCUGCAUCGCCUACUAGAAAAGCUGGGAAGUCCGUAUGGAGGAAAUGAUAUAGGAUUUUAAUUGUCUUGAACCUUGAUGAUUUACAAGAAUUUCCGAAAGUGGGGAGCUAGCUAUAUUCUCAAAUCUUUCAUCUUCCUUUUUGGAUUUAAUUUGGUUGGUAUACGGGUCCUGAUUUUAUCAUGAUAUUUCUUAUUUCAUCAUUCAUGGUUGCCGUAGACGUGGGUGGUUGGAAGGGCCAAUGGUGUAUAUAUAUCCCAUUUCUAGCUUGCGGGGACCUCUCUGGGUAUGAUUCUGACCGUUCAUAUCCGUUACCUAAAGCUGCCGAUGGAGCUUAAUUACAAGGGCUUGGAUCCUGUAGAGCCCCCACUUGCCCCUCCUUGCAAGCUAAGAGAGCCCUUGAACUGAUGAAAGCAUCCAGUCGUGGAGUCCAAGAGCUCGAAAAGCUCUCCUCGGAUUCUUGAUCAUGGUCAUGUAUAACAUGACAUAUUUAUCUAGAAACAGGCCAACCAACUCAAAUGGAUUGGAGUGCCAAAUUUGAUCACUGGAUAGACAAUUAUUACUGUAAGCUGCCUUUAACAUUUUGUUCUGCUAAAACAAUAAUUGCUCUUGCUUAAACUGGUUGGUUUUCGUGUCCCACUAGCUAGAUAGUACCUGGAAAGCAUUCAGAUUUAGAGAGUGCAGCUUAUAGGGAUGGGAUUCGCCUGUGCAUAUUUGGCAGUACUAGCUACUGUUAGGUCAAAAGAUUGAAAUAAAAGCUGGUAUCAAAUGGGAUAUUCGAUGAUUUUCAAGUAGUGGUCCUGACAGUGGCUUUUCCUUUGAAAAUUAGACGGGUCGACAUCUUCGGUAUGGUCCAUGUCUAUGAGCUGUGAGGUGGUGAAGUAUCAUACUGUAAUUUUCAGUGUAAUUGAUCCACCAUCUUUUUAUUUUUUGUUUCUUCCUGGUUCGGUAAUGAUUUAGAUUGGACCAAUGAUCAUCGAUCCA